CAAGAGGAAAAACUUUAAUUGACAUGAACCCAUCUGGAUGGGACCCUUCUUUAUUAGUAGUUUAGGUAUAAGCAUGUGCCUCAGUUAUCGCCAAGACAGUAGGAGGGGAAUUAUUCUGAGGGGCUUCAGCAAAUGCUUUCCUUUGCUGAUAAAAAAAAAAAAAAACAGACAAACAGGCUGUGACGGGAACUCAGAGUGCUUGGCUAACAUGCAUGAGGUUCUGGGUUCAAUCCUCAACUCCACAAAACAUGUGAACGACAAAAACCAGCCAGGCAAAUAGGAAUAAACAACCCUAGGCCUAGGUCGAGACAUUUUUUUGUCUGUCUGUCUGUGCUGCCCAGAGAGGCUGCAAGCACCAAGGAACUCUGGGAAAGGCAAGCCAGAGGGUAAACUAAUGGGCUGGGGAGGGUAGAGCGCAGGGAUGCAGGUUGUAAGGGUCCUUGUAGCUGAGCCAGUCAGUUAAUCUAAUCAGCCCCCAACGGCCAUACCUUCUCGUUAAAAAAAAUAAUAAACCUCUUCAAAUGUAAGCUAUUCUCGCUCGGCCCUUCUGUUAUUCAGCUGAACACGUCUGAGUUGGCGGCGUUUGCUCGCUGCCGACCAGAUCCGUCUCCCCACCCUUUCCUUGUUCUGUGUUGCUGGAACUGACCCUUAGAGGCUGUUUCCCAGUUCCCGUGCCAGUUGGCUUCUAGCUGUGUGCAGCUCGUGGGAAGCACUGAGAGACCCGGAGGAAGGAAGGAGCCAAGGUGUUUCUGCUCCUCUGCUCCUGGCAGUGACUCCAUCUCUUCCCUGGUGUUGCCCUGGGAACUACCCAUUGUGAGCUCUGCUCUCCGCAGUGGACCUGGGCCUGUUUUCCCGGCCGAAUCAAUACUUCAGGUGAUAGGAGGCAAGCGAGCAAGAAACACGGAGAGAGGGCUUCUUCCCCAAAGAGAAGACGCUGAGCUACUUUGCACAGCAAGUGUAAAUUCUCCCCUCGCACCUCUGCAGAUACCGCCUGCCCAGUGAACCCAGUUACUAGGAUACUCCCCUAGGACAAGUUCUGACAGAUAGACUCAGCCCAGGGGCGCGUCGUCUCUCUCUGCGAGAAGCGGCACUUACCUUCUGUGCGUUCAGCGGUGUGGUUCCUGAACUGGGCUCACUCUGCAAGCUCAUUUUGACUCCUGAAAUGAUGAGUUUGACGAAGGAUAUUCACACGGUUGCUCACUGUGUGGACACGAGAGACCUGGUCCCAAAUCCACUUUCCUGUGGUUAGAAGAAGAGCACUGGAACACGUUCCAUAUUCCCUUGAAUAUCUGCAUUGUUUCACUGUCCAUCUUCUUACAUAGAACAAAG
Long non-coding RNA from Chinchilla lanigera (long-tailed chinchilla), 1329 nucleotides. RefSeq lists it as uncharacterized. The record is from RefSeq and is a predicted model, not a curated record. NCBI's taxonomy places the organism in Eukaryota, Metazoa, Chordata, Mammalia, Rodentia, Chinchillidae. The transcript has 4 exons.